RNAcentral lists this transfer RNA (76 nucleotides) under Lachnospiraceae bacterium. RNAcentral describes it as "tRNA-Ile". It matches the Rfam family "tRNA". Rfam says of the family: Transfer RNA (tRNA) molecules are approximately 80 nucleotides in length. Their secondary structure includes four short double-helical elements and three loops (D, anti-codon, and T loops). Further hydrogen bonds mediate the characteristic L-shaped molecular structure. tRNAs have two regions of fundamental functional importance: the anti-codon, which is responsible for specific mRNA codon recognition, and the 3' end, to which the tRNAs corresponding amino acid is attached (by aminoacyl-tRNA synthetases). tRNAs cope with the degeneracy of the genetic code in two manners: having more than one tRNA (with a specific anti-codon) for a particular amino acid; and 'wobble' base-pairing, i.e. permitting non-standard base-pairing at the 3rd anti-codon position. The record is from RNAcentral. Lineage: Bacteria; Bacillati; Bacillota; Clostridia; Lachnospirales; Lachnospiraceae. RNAcentral also lists the same sequence under 4 other names.
GGACCGUUAGCUCAGUUGGUAGAGCAGCCGGCUCAUAACCGGUCGGUCCGGGGUUCGAGUCCCUGACGGUCCACCA